GCUCCAGUAGCUCAGUGGAUAGAGCAACCGCCUUCUAAGCGGUCGGUCACAGGUUCGAGUCCUGUCUGGAGCG
This 73-nucleotide transfer RNA is filed under the name Synechococcales cyanobacterium C42_A2020_086. It matches the Rfam family "tRNA". From Rfam's summary of the family: Transfer RNA (tRNA) molecules are approximately 80 nucleotides in length. Their secondary structure includes four short double-helical elements and three loops (D, anti-codon, and T loops). The record is from Rfam by way of RNAcentral. RNAcentral also lists the same sequence under 2 other names. Lineage: Bacteria; Bacillati; Cyanobacteriota; Cyanophyceae; Synechococcales.